RNAcentral lists this transfer RNA (71 nucleotides) under Ictidomys tridecemlineatus (thirteen-lined ground squirrel). RNAcentral's name for it is "Spermophilus tridecemlineatus (thirteen-lined ground squirrel) tRNA". It matches the Rfam family "tRNA". From Rfam's summary of the family: Transfer RNA (tRNA) molecules are approximately 80 nucleotides in length. Their secondary structure includes four short double-helical elements and three loops (D, anti-codon, and T loops). Lineage: Eukaryota; Metazoa; Chordata; Mammalia; Rodentia; Sciuridae. The record is from Rfam by way of RNAcentral.
GGGGUUGUGGCUCAGUGGUAGAGCACUUGCCUAACAUGCACGAGGCACUGGGUUUGAUCUUCAGCACCUCA